Molecule: ribosomal RNA, 515 nt
Filed under: uncultured eukaryote
Lineage: Eukaryota
Description: bacterial SSU rRNA
Rfam family: Eukaryotic small subunit ribosomal RNA
Source: RNAcentral
GUUUCAAGGACUAAGCCAUGCAAGUGCCAGAGUAACUGGAUUGAUAGGAGGUCUGCGUACGGCUCAUUAAACGGUUUAUUAUCUACCCAGCGUCGGGGGUGGAAACGCCUUCCUAUGGAUAACUCCGUUAACGCGGAGCUAAUACACGUACGAAGAAACCUGCUCCGUUGAGCUUGCUUGGGGUAACCUGGGUGAGUGGGGUGGGUUGCAAUUGGCCGGAACAAAACCAACGCCCGUUCUGCGGGCAGCGAGAACUGUUGAGGCAGGCCAAUCAUGCAAAAGCGCAUACCUUCGGGUGGCGCGUUGCUGGACGAAUUUACCACCUAUCAGGCUGUUGGUAGUGUAGUGGACUACCAAACCGGUGACGGGUAACGGGGAAUUGGGGUUCGAUUCCGGAGAGGGUGCCUGAGAGAUGGCAACCAUUGCUACGGUGAGCAGCAGGCGCGCAAAUUGCCCAAUGCCGACUCGGUGAGGCAGCGACGAAAAAUAACAACUCCGGCGGCUUCUAGCCACGG